CCCAUUCCUACAGUUACUCCAAUCCUACAUCACUCCAAUUACUCCUACGUUCCUCUGAUCCUAUAUAUUAUUUACUCCAUUCAUUGUUUAUCAUUUAUAACUUCUGUGUGUUAGCUCUGAGAUCUUUUUUAGUAUUUCUUCUAUUUCUAGAAAAUAAUAGUCUCAGUUUUUUUGUGACCUGGAAGCAGUCUAAUUUUGCUUUUGUUUUUUAAAGGGGAAUUUCACUAACUGUGUAGAGUACCGGAGAGUAAACUAGGUGCAGUGGUAUGUAUCUGUAAUCUCAGCUUGCAGGACAGAUCUCUGGAACUCAGCAGCUCAAUGCAGCAGCUCAAAGCCUAGACAGUAUAAUAAGACAUCAUUAAAAAAAAUUCUGGCAGACUUUUUUCCCCUCCAGAUACAGUUCCACUAUCUACUAGUUUUCAUACGUCAGUGGAAAAAUUGGUAGUCAGUCCUAUUUGAUGUUCCAUCUUAUUUCUUUGGCUAAUUUUAUGCCUUUGCUCAGUAUAUUCAUUUUCAAUAGUUUCUUAGUCCUUCCCAAAUUUAGCUUGGUUGUGUGAUCUUGAAUUUUUUUUUUCAAUCUU
Molecule: long non-coding RNA, 581 nt
Organism: Perognathus longimembris pacificus (Pacific pocket mouse)
Lineage: Eukaryota; Metazoa; Chordata; Mammalia; Rodentia; Heteromyidae
Exons: 3
Source: RefSeq, a predicted model, not a curated record